UUUAUGGAGAGUUUGAUCCUGGCUCAGGAUGAACGCUGGCGGCGUGCCUAAUACAUGCAAGUCGAGCGAACUGACGAGGAGCUUGCUCCUUUGACGUUAGCGGCGGACGGGUGAGUAACACGUGGG
This 126-nucleotide ribosomal RNA is filed under the name Staphylococcus sp. 11007852. RNAcentral's name for it is "partial 16S ribosomal RNA". It matches the Rfam family "Bacterial small subunit ribosomal RNA", at positions 1 to 121 of the family's 1533-position model. The record is from RNAcentral. Lineage: Bacteria; Bacillati; Bacillota; Bacilli; Caryophanales; Staphylococcaceae.